GUCGAAAUGUGUAACGCUAGCUUGUGACCCAAGUGGGGGUACCAGAGUGAUGGAACAUGGCUUUGGUUUAUCAGAUUGGGCUGGUGGAUGCACCACGCUGGCCUGUUCAAUCCAAGUUGAGAGCUCACUCAUAGGACUUGAGCGAAGGCAUGAGUCUUGCGGAUUUUAGAUAGGAGGGUAGAGCGUGAGGCUGGUUUCAUAGAGAAAUGAAUACCUACUUAUCCGAAUUGUGGAGGGACCACAUGCCCUGAACUUUCUGUUCACGACACCUGGUGAACCUAACUCCUUAAACUAUCUCUU
This 300-nucleotide signal recognition particle RNA is filed under the name Medicago truncatula (barrel medic). RNAcentral describes it as "SRP RNA gene39053". It matches the Rfam family "Plant signal recognition particle RNA". Lineage: Eukaryota; Viridiplantae; Streptophyta; Magnoliopsida; Fabales; Fabaceae. The record is from Rfam by way of RNAcentral.